GGGUCAGUAGGUUGGUCGUGCCUCCGGUACGUACUGGUCUCACUGAUUCCUCCUUCCUGAAGAACCGUAAUGCCAUUAAUUUGGUGUUGCGGGGAAACAGGACUGUUACUUUGAAAAAAUUAGAGUGUUUAAAGCAAGCUAACGCUUGAAUACAUUAGCAUGGAAUAAUGAAAUAGGACGAUCGAUCCUAUUUUGUUGGUUUCUAGGAUUGACGUA
Molecule: ribosomal RNA, 216 nt
Filed under: Glomeromycotina sp.
Lineage: Eukaryota; Fungi; Glomeromycota
Description: partial small subunit ribosomal RNA
Rfam family: Eukaryotic small subunit ribosomal RNA (bases 40-216)
Source: RNAcentral